CCUACGGGCGGCAGCAGUAGGGAAUCUUCGGCAAUGGGGGCAACCCUGACCGAGCAACGCCGCGUGAGUGAAGAAGGUUUUCGGAUCGUAAAACUCUGUUGUUAGAGAAGAACGUUAAGUAGAGUGGAAAAUUACUUAAGUGACGGUAUCUAACUAGAAAGGGACGGCUAACUACGUGCCAGCAGACGCGGUAAUACGUAGGUUACAAGCGUAGUCCGGAUUUAUUGGUGGUAAAGAGUGCGCAGAUGGUUUAUGAAGUCUGGUGUAAAAGGCAGUGGCUCAACCAUUGUAUGCAUUGGAAACUGGUAGACUUGAGUGCAGGAGAGGAGAGUGGAAUUCCAUGUGUAGCGGUGAGAUGCGUAGAUAUAUGGAGGAACACCGGUUGCGAAAGCGGCUCUCUGGCCUGUAACUGACACUGAGGCUCGAAAGCGUGGGGAGCAAACAGGAUUAGAUACCCUAGUAGUC
RNAcentral lists this ribosomal RNA (465 nucleotides) under uncultured Lactococcus sp. RNAcentral's name for it is "bacterial SSU rRNA". It matches the Rfam family "Bacterial small subunit ribosomal RNA", at positions 338 to 795 of the family's 1533-position model. The record is from RNAcentral. Lineage: Bacteria; Bacillati; Bacillota; Bacilli; Lactobacillales; Streptococcaceae.